AUUAUGUAUCUUAUCGUAUUCAUUUAUCAGUUGUGAUAUUAUUUGUUAAUAGUUACUAGAAAAUGUUUAAUACUGUUCGCAACGGAGUUACAAGUUACAAUUUCUUUGAUAUAUUUGUAUAAGGUACGAUUCAUCUUAAGGUAAUUCGGGGGAAGAUGGCACAAAAGGGGGAAGAUGCAACUUUUGCAGGAUACAAGCAGCAACAAGACCAAGAAAUGAAAGCAGAGCACCAACUGAAACAACCCAGUAGCACCAGGCA
Long non-coding RNA from Cyphomyrmex costatus, 259 nucleotides. RefSeq lists it as uncharacterized. NCBI's taxonomy places the organism in Eukaryota, Metazoa, Arthropoda, Insecta, Hymenoptera, Formicidae. The transcript has 3 exons. The record is from RefSeq and is a predicted model, not a curated record.